AGAUGAUCGCGCCGUUCGGAGCUUGUCCGGACGGUGAGGAAAGUCCGGGCUUCACAGGGCAGGGUGCCGGAUAACGUCCGGUGGAGGCGACUCUAAGGCCAGUGCAACAGAAAAGAAACCGCCGUGCUACGGAUCGGCAGAUGCUUCUGCCUGACCCCGCACAGGUAAGGGUGGAAUGGCGGUGUAAGAGACCACCGCUUCUCUGGUAACAGGGAAGGCUGUGUAAACCCCACUCGAAGCAAGAUCAAAAUGUGCCGCAAGGCAUGGAAAACGAUACGGCGGCCCGUCGUGUUUUCCGGUAGAUCGCGUUCUGCCGCAAGGCAGAGGAGCUGCAUGGUAACAUGCAGUCAAGAAAGAUGAUCAUCAAAUACAGAACCCGGCUUACAGUGCUGCUCA
This 396-nucleotide RNase P RNA is filed under the name pig gut metagenome. RNAcentral's name for it is "Bacterial RNase P class A". It matches the Rfam family "Bacterial RNase P class A". Rfam says of the family: Ribonuclease P (RNase P) is a ubiquitous endoribonuclease, found in archaea, bacteria and eukarya as well as chloroplasts and mitochondria. Its best characterised activity is the generation of mature 5'-ends of tRNAs by cleaving the 5'-leader elements of precursor-tRNAs. Cellular RNase Ps are ribonucleoproteins. The record is from RNAcentral.